GCGAGGAUCUAGGUACAUUAUCAAAUGCAUAUAUUUACUUUUUCCUAUGAUUUAGUAAUUACAAUAACAACUACAUUCUCCAUUCGUGCAGGGAGUGCUGGAAAUUUAUGUGUCUCAGUGCGUGACUACUACUGCUACAAAUUUCAAAUGUGUCCUGGUAUUCUCAACCCAAUAUUUUAUGGCAAGCGGCUUUUUCAACAAUUUGCCGUUGAUACAUAUGUUAAGAUUGAAAGCUCUCAAUUAGAUGACAUCCGAAAUAAUCAGGAUAGUCUCAGGGCCGACCUGUACCAGGGUCUUGUUGAUACUUUGAACGCUGGUGAGGGCCGAGCCGAUGUUGUUGGAAGACGUACUAUCCUUUCUACGACAUUCAUCGGAGGUCCUCGUGAUAUGAGGCGUCGGUAUAUGGAUGCAAUGGCCCUGGUAUGCAAGUACGGCAAACCGGAUAUCUUUCUAACAAUGACCUGCAAUCCUAACUGGGAUGAGAUCAGGAAUGAACUCUAUCCAGGCCAGUCAGCACAAGAUCGACCGGAUCUUGUAUCCCGUGUGUUCAGGGCGAAGCUGGAGGCUAUGAAAAUAAAGUUGUUGAAGAAUGAUAUACUUGGAAAGGUUCGGGCGUACGUGUAUGUUGUGGAAUUUCAGAAGAGGGGUCUACCACAUGCUCACUUCUUGCUCAUAAUGAAAAGGAAAUGGAAGCUCACAUGCCCGGAGCAGUAUGACCGACUUAUAUGUGCUGAGCUGACAAACAAGAAGAAAUAUCCAGAGUUGUACAUAAUGGUGACUAAGCAUAUGAUGCAUGGGCCAUGCGGUGUGCUAAACCCAAAUUGUCUGUAUACUAAGGGUCGUUCUUCAUGCAAAAAUCAUUAUCCACGUCCCUUCGCAGAAUCCACCUCACAGGGUAAAGAUUCUUACCCAAUAUAUCGUCGUCGUGACAAUGGGUCUAAAGAGAAGGUUCGAGGUUAUGAGCUUGACAAUCGGUGGGUUGUCCCUUAUAACCCGCACUUAUUGCGUGCGUUCAAUUGUCACAUAAAUGUUGAGGCAUGUAGCAUCAUUAAAUCAGUAAAGUAUUUAUUCAAGUAUGUAUACAAAGGUCAUGAUCGAGCUUCAAUAGCAGUUAGGGAGUCUGGCCAGGCGGAUAAAGAAGGGAACGUAGAUGAGAUCAAAGCUUAUAGAGACGCUCGAUGGGUGACACCUCCAGAGGCGUUGUGGAGGAUAUAUGGUUUUGACCUUAGUAAAAAUCAUCCCCCCGUACAACAACUUCAGCUCCAUCUUCCUGACAUGCACAUGGUGUCAUUUCACAAUCGUCAAAAGAUUGAGCACGUUGUUAAUAAAUCAGGUGCCGAUGAAUCAAUGUUGACUGCAUAUUUCAAAGCAAACAGGUUGCACGAGUCUGUUCGUAACAUAUUAUAUCGUGAUUUCCCAGAAUUUUUCACAUGGCAGUCUGAUGGUAAAUUUUGGCAUCCAAGGGAACGAGCUAACACUGGGCAGGUUGGGAGGAUCGUAUCAGCUCAUCCAGCUGAAGGUGAACGCUACUAUCUCCGGAUUCUCCUAAAUCAUGUGGCUGGAGCAACUUCAUAUGAAGAUUUGAGAACCGUUGGUGGCGUGAUACAACCUUCUUUCCGUGAAGCUGCUGAGAAAAGAGGGUUGAUUUAGGAGGACAGCUCACUUGAUGAGUGUAUUUCUAAAGUUGCCUUGUAUCAGAUGCCAUCAUCACUACAAAGGCUUUUUGCAACAAUAUUAGUAUUUUGUGAACCAAGUGAUGUAUUCGCACUCUGGCAAAAACACUUGGACGCAAUGUCUGAGGAUUAUCAUCGCAACAAUCCAUCAGAUGUUAUCGUUGAGCAAAUGGUCCUAAUUGAUAUUAGAAACAUGCUGCAAUCAAUGGGGAAGGAUAUAAAAUCAUUCCCUCUUCCUGAGAUUGAUAACACUUAUGAUGACGCUUGUGGUGUUCCACGGGAGAUAUUCGAGGAAUCAAAUAUAGAGAGCACCGAGGAUGACGUGGUCUUAUCAAAAUCCCUUAACAUUGAGCAGAGGGCUGCUUAUGAUGAGAUCUUGUCAUCUAUUGAUUCCAAUGACGGCGGUUUGUUUUUUGUGGAUGGCCCUGGUGGCACCGGGAAAACAUUCUUGUAUAGGGCUUUGCUUGCCAAAGUCCGCAGUCAUAACAAGAUUGCUGUUGCGACUGCUACGUCUGGGGUUGCUGCAUCCAUAAUGCCCGGUGGGAGAACAGCACAUUCACAUUUCAAGAUUCCACUUACAAUUGAUAGUGGUGGAUAUUAUAGUUUCACUAAACAAAGUGGUACAGCGACUCUGCUAUGCACUGCUUCUUUGAUUGUUUGGGAUGAGGUUUCUAUGAUCAAAAAACAAGCAGUGGAGGCGUUGGACAAUAGCAUGUGUGAUAUAAUGGAUAGGCCAGAUUUGCCUUUUGGUGGGAAGACUGUUGUGUUUGGGGGAGACUUUAGGUAGGUCCUACCAGUUGUCAGGAAGGGGUCGAGGGCUCAGAUAGUGGAUGCUUCGUUACGCAGGUCAUACCUGUGGGAUUAUAUGCGUCACCUAAAGCUUGUGCGCAACAUGAGAGCGCACAGUGACCCAUGGUUUGUUGAAUAUCUUUUGCGCAUUGGCAACGGAAUAGAGGAGGCCAAUGCUGAUGGUGAAAUCCGUCUCCCAGACGAAAUUUGCGUGCCAUAUACUGGAGAUGGCAAUGAUCUUGAUAGAUUAAUCCAAUGCAUCUUCCCUAACCUUAAUGAGAACAUGGCAGACACGGACUACAUCACUUCUAGAGCUAUUUUGUCCACACGCAAUGAUUGGGUUGAUAGGAUUAAUAUGAAGAUGAUUGGAUCUUUCCAAGGUGGGGAGGUGGAGUAUCAUAGUUUUGAUUCUGCUGUAGAUGAUCCACACAACUAUUAUCCAUCAGAGUUUCUUAACACCCUUACACCCAAUGGAUUGCCUCCACAUGUGUUAAAGCUAAAGGUGGGUUGUCCAAUAAUAUUGCUUCGGAACAUUGAUCCUGCAAAUGGUUUAUGUAAUGGUACGAGGUUAGUUGUCCGUGGUUUCCAAAGAAAUACUAUAGAUGCUGAAAUCGUGUUGGGCCAGCAUGCUGGAAAACGAGUUUUCCUCCCUCGGAUACCCUUAUGCCCCUCUGAUGACGAGAUGUUCCUGUUUCAAUUCAAAACAAAACAGUUUCCUAUCCGGCUCAGUUUUGCCAUGACGGUCAACAAGUCACAAGGUCAGACUAUUACUAACGUCGGUGUUUACCUCCCUGACCCCGUGUUCUCACAUGGGCAAUUGUAUGUUGCAAUGUCAAGGGCAACUGCUAGAACAAACAUCAAGAUUCUAGCACUUCCACCAAAUGCCACUGAGCUCGAGGAAGAAGCUAAAAAGGAAAAGAAAAAUGCUAAAAAAAAGGGUAAGGACACUGUCAAUAACAAGAAAGAAAAGAAAAAGAUCCCAGUAUAUACAUGUACGAAGAAUAUUGUAUACAAGGAGGUCCUAACGGGAUAAUCCAGAGAUUUGUGUGACAAUGUGUUCAUCUGCCUCUGUCCGAGAAAUUCAUAUGCUUACUCUUCGAAAUGUUUCUCAGGUCUGGCCAUGGAUAUAUUGCGGCUAGAGAGCUCCAUACAAAUAUGUUGCUCGUGCUUUUGUUAAUUUAACAGAGCAGAGUCCUAUGCGUAUUCUACUAUCACAGGAAAAGACAUUUGAAUUAGAUAUAUGAGAUAAAUUAUUCAAACUAUGUUUAUGAGAAUAUUGAUACUGUGAUUUUGUCUAGAUGAAUUCUUAAUCCAUUAUGGAUAGUUUGAUUUCAUCGAAUGCAAUAUUUUUCGGACGUGUAGAAUAUUGUUUUGGGUUUACUUUUGUUCACUCAUAGCACUGGAAUGGUUCUAUCAAGUCUAAA
RNA transcript from Panicum virgatum (switchgrass), 3886 nucleotides. It is a transcript of the gene named ATP-dependent DNA helicase PIF1-like, with no coding region annotated. Lineage: Eukaryota; Viridiplantae; Streptophyta; Magnoliopsida; Poales; Poaceae. The record is from RefSeq and is a predicted model, not a curated record. The transcript has 4 exons.